UGCCAGACUCCUACGGGAGGCAGCAGUGGGGAAUAUUGGGCAAUGGGCGCAAGCCUGACCCAGCAACGCCGCGUGAAGGAAGAAGGCUUUCGGGUUGUAAACUUCUUUUAUGAGGGACGAAACAAAUGACGGUACCUCAUGAAUAAGCCACGGCUAACUACGUGCCAGCAGCCGCGGUAAUACGUAGGAGGCAAGCGUUAUCCGGAAUGACUGGGCGUAAAGGGUGCGUAGGUGGUUUGACAAGUUAGUAGCGCAACUCCGGAGCUUAACUUCGGAACUACUACUAAAACUGUUGGACUUGAGUGCAGGAGGGGCAAUCGGAAUUCCUAGUGUAGCGGUGGAAUGCGUAGAUAUUAGGAGGAACACCAGUGGCGAAGGCGGAUUGCUAGACUGUAACUGACACUGAGGCACGAAAGCGUGGGGAGCAAACAGGAUUAGAUACCCCCGUA
This 449-nucleotide ribosomal RNA is filed under the name uncultured bacterium. RNAcentral describes it as "bacterial SSU rRNA". It matches the Rfam family "Bacterial small subunit ribosomal RNA", at positions 329 to 792 of the family's 1533-position model. The record is from RNAcentral.